RNAcentral lists this ribosomal RNA (2821 nucleotides) under Mus musculus (house mouse). RNAcentral describes it as "bacterial LSU rRNA". It matches the Rfam family "Bacterial large subunit ribosomal RNA". Lineage: Eukaryota; Metazoa; Chordata; Mammalia; Rodentia; Muridae. The record is from RNAcentral.
AGGGCGUACGGUGAAUGCCUUGGUGCCAACAGGCGAAGAAGGACGCGGCAAGCUGCGAAAAGCCUCGGGAAGCUGCAAGCAAGCGAUGAUCCGGGGAUAUCCGAAUGGGGUAACCUGAUCGAGGCAAUACUCGAUCGUUCAUACCUGAAUACAUAGGGUAUGAAACGCGAAACCCGCUGAAGUGAAACAUCUCAGUAAGCGGAGGAAAAGAAAGAGAAAUCGAUUCCGUAAGUAGUGGCGAGCGAAAGCGGAUGGAGCCCAAACCGAAGGUAUUCCUUCGGGGUUGUAGGACCACGACCUAUUCGACCAUACUGGAUAGUAGAACAGCCUGGAAAGGCUGGCCGUAGAAGGUGAAAGCCCUGUAGACGAAAUCCAGAGUGGGAAUUAGUGGUAUCCUGAGUAAUACAUCACACGUGGAACGAUGUAUGAAACCGCGCGGACCACCGCGCAAGGCUAAAUACUAGUUGGCGACCGAUAGUGAACAAGUACCGCGAGGGAAAGGUGAAAAGAACCGCUGUGAGCGGAGUGAAAUAGAACCUGAAACCGUAUGUCUACAAAGUGUCAGAGCAGAGCAGUCUGCGAUGGCGUGCCUUUUGUUUAAUGAGUCUGCGAGUCAGUGUUUGUGGCAAGACUAAGGGCUUCCGGCCCGGAGUCGCAGCGAAAGCAAGUCCGAACAGGGCGCAAUAAGUCGCAGGUACUGGACCCGAAGCGGAGGUGACCUACCCUUGGCCAGGUUGAAGCAUGGGUAAAACCAUGUGGAGGACCGAACAGGUGAACGUUGAAAAGUUCUCUGAUGAGCUGAGGGUAGGAGUGAAAGGCUAAUCAAACCCCGUGAUAGCUGGUUCUCUUCGAAAUGCAUUUAGGUGCAGCGUCACGUGCUGAUGCGCGGGGGUAGAGCACUGACAAGGCUAGGGGGCACACCCGCUUACCAAACCUUAUCAAACUCCGAAUACCGUGCAAUGGAACGUGGCAGUGAGACAGUGGGGGAUAAGCUUCAUUGUCGAGAGGGAAACAACCCAGACCAGCAGCUAAGGUGCCUAAAUAACGCUCAGUGGAAAGGAUGUGGGAUUACACAGACAGUGAGGAUGUUGGCUUAGAAGCAGCCACCAUUUAAAAAAUGCGUAAUAGCUUACUCAUCGAGUGAUCCUGCGCCGAAAAUGAUUGGCGAUCAAGCGUUAUACCGAAGCUCUGGACUUUGCCGCAAGGCAGAGUGGUAGAAGAGCGUUGCAUGCGCGUCGAAGGGUGAUGGCGACUGACCCUGGAGCACAUGCAAGUGAGUAUGCAGACAUGAGUAACGUUAAGCCGGGUGAAAUCCCCGGCCGCCGUAAACCCGAGGUUUCCAGGGCAACGUGUUUCGUCCCUGGGUUAGCCGGGACCUAAGCCGAGGCCGAGAGGCGUAGGCGAUGGACAUCAGGUUAAUAAUCCUGAGCUCGCGGCCCUUAAACUGGGGGGACGCAUGAGAAAAGAUGACUAGGUUAUUGAAUUCCGAGUUGAGUCUACGGACUCAGCGCAUCAUUGGAUCGAGUGCCAAGAAAAGCCCCAGCGUAUGCUAAGCGACCCGUACCGCAAACCGACACAGGUGGGUGGGUAGAAUAUACCAAGGCGUAAGAGUGAAACCUGGUUAAGGAACUCGGCAAAUUAGCCCCGUAACUUCGGAAGAAGGGGUGCCUGCAGCGAUGCAGGCCGCAGAGAAAUGGCCCAACCGACUGUUUAUCAAAAACACAGCACUCUGCAAAGACGCAAGUCGAAGUAUAGGGUGUGACACGUGACCAAUGCCGAAAGAUUAAGGCAAGGGGUUAGCCGCAAGGCGAAGCUCUGAACCCAAGUCCCGGUGAAUGUCGGCCGUAACUAUAACGGUCCUAAGGUAGCGAAAUUCCUUGUCGGGUAAGUUCCGACCUGCACGAAUCGUGAAACGAGUUGGGCACUGUCUCAACCAGGCGCUCAGUGAAAUUGUAGUGGCGGUGAAGAUGCCGCCUACCCGCAGAAGGACGGAAAGACCCUAUAGACCUUAACUGUAAGCUGUCAUUGUUUCUUCGGUUUUAAUGCUCAGAGUAAGUGGGAGACGCUGAAGACGCCCUUUAGGGGGCGUCCGAGUCAUCAAUGAGACACCACCCUUUGAAACUGGAGGAUCUAACCCUGAGCCGUGAAUCCGGCCAGAGGACCGUGUCAGCCGGUCAGUUUUACUGGGGCGGUAUCCUCCCAAAGAGUAACGGAGGAGCGCGAAGGUGGGCUCAGCCCGGUUGGCAACCGGGUGUCGAGUGCAUGGGCAUAAGCCCGCCUAACUGUGAGACCAACAAGUCGAGCAGAUGCGAAAGCAGGCCCAAGUGAUCCGGCGGUAGAAAGUGGAAUUGCCGUCGCUCAACGGAUAAAAGGUACCUUAGGGAUAACAGGCUGAUCACGCCCAAGAGUUCAUAUCGACGGCGUGGUUUGGCACCUCGAUGUCGGCUCGUCGCAUCCUGGGGCUGGAGAAGGUCCCAAGGGUCCGGCUGUUCGCCGGUUAAAGCGGCACGCGAGCUGGGUUCAGAACGUCGCGAGACAGUUCGGUCCUCUAUCCUCUGUGGGCGUUGGAAAAUUGAGGGGUUCAGACCUUAGUACGAGAGGACCGGGUCUGACGCACCACUGGUGCAUCGGUUGUACUGUCAAGUGCAUGGCCGAGUAGCUAAGUGCGGACGGGAUAAGCGCUGAAAGCAUCUAAGCGCCAAGCCCUUCCCAAGAUGAGUUUUCCCUACAGGUUCGUGGAAGACCACCACGUUGAUAGGUCGCAGGUGUAAGUGCAGCAAUGUAUUGAGCCAAGCGAUACUAAUUACCAAUUGACUUCAUC